GCAUCGAUAGCUCAGUGGCAGAACGGUGGGGCGUUGUCCCAUGCGGCCCGGGAUCGAGCCCCGAUCGAAGCA
Phthorimaea operculella (potato tuberworm) is the source of this 72-nucleotide non-coding RNA. The record is from the annotation of a GenBank genome assembly. Lineage: Eukaryota; Metazoa; Arthropoda; Insecta; Lepidoptera; Gelechiidae.